Molecule: RNA transcript, 3884 nt
Organism: Oncorhynchus masou masou (cherry salmon)
Lineage: Eukaryota; Metazoa; Chordata; Actinopteri; Salmoniformes; Salmonidae
Gene name: glycerophosphodiester phosphodiesterase domain-containing protein 5-like
Exons: 18
Source: RefSeq, a predicted model, not a curated record
UCAUAGACGAGGCACGCGUUAAACUCAGAGGACUGACCCUGGAAUAUUUACUGAGAUAAUUAUGUUAAACUGAUACACACUUCAAUGUAGCAUAAACCCACGAAGUGGAAUUUAACAGAAUAACUCUGGGUCGAAUGUUUUUACCUUUGUUGUGGCAGGACACAUUUCCUUUUCUCCUCGGUAGUAUUUAACAACCUUUGGCGGUCACCCACCUCAACACAUUUGACACAGGCAGCAGCCCAUUUGUUGAGUGGUGUGAGGGCAGUUGGUCGGAGGACUUCGUAACAUUUUCCUACAACUUCACUUGGGAGAAAAAGCCUGAAAUAAUUGCUAGAGGCAGGCUCCAGUUUGGUCAAUGGGAUGUUAGUGGUCUGGAGGUGUGCCAGGACUGAAGGAGCAUGGUGAAGCACCAACCCCUGCAGGUCUAUGAGAGGCAGCUGUGUUUGUCAUGUCUCACAGGGAUCUAUGGAUGCCGCUGGAAACGGUACCAGCGCUCACAUGAUGACACCACCAAGUGGGAGUUCCUGUGGUCUCUCAUCCUCUUCUUCACCUUCUCUCUGCUCCUGGUCUGGUUCUACUUCUGGUGGGAGGCACACAAUGACUACAAUGAGUUCAACUGGUUUUUAUAUAACCGUUCUGGAGAGUGGAUCGACGGGACUGUUCCAAUCCUGGCCACUACCGCUGCCGGCUUCACUUAUAUUGCAUUUUUAAUGAUUUUAGCACUUUGCCACAUAGCAGUGGGACAACAGCUGAACUUGCACUGGCUGCACAAGAUAGGGGUCAGUACUGCCCUGCUGACCACUGCCAUCGGAUUCAUAUCUGUCAAUCAAACAUGGGGAGAGGAGUGGGCAGUCAUCCCUAUAUCACUCCAGGCCACAGGUCCCUUCCUACACCUAGGAGCCCUGGUGGCUGUCACCGCUCUGGCCUGGCUGGUGGCUGGGCAGGUUGCCCGCUCCGAGAAAACAAUGUUUCAGGUGGUGGUUCUCCUGCUCUACCUAAGUGUUCUACUGGGCCUCUACAUGGCCCCCCUUUCCAUCACCUCCCCCUGCAUCAUGGAACACGCCAACCUCACACCACGCCCUGACGUCAUUGGCCACCAGGGCGCACCCAUGCUGGCUCCAGAGAACACCAUCCUGUCCUUCCAGAGGGCUCUGCAGAUGAACGUCAGUGGGCUGGAGGCUGACGUGGCCAUCAGCCUUGACGGGGUGCCGUUUCUGAUGCGAGACCGCACCUUGAGGAGGACUACAGAUGUGGAGAAAGUGUUUCCUGCCAGACAGCUGGACGAUGCCUCCUCCUUUAACUGGACAGACUUACACAGCCUCAAUGCCGGCCAGUGGUUCCUCAAGGAAGACCCAUUCUGGACGGUCCAGUCCAUGGCUCAGAGGGAGGUGAUGCUGGUGGGGAACCAGAGUGUGUGUAGUCUGGAGCAGCUGCUGAGGCUUGCCACCCUCCAUAACCACACAGUGGUGUUCGGCCUGCGCCGACCCCCGCACGGACACCCCUGCUACCACAGCUGGAUAAACGAUACCCUGGGGGUCAUACUCCUGUCUGGGAUUCCACAGCACCUGGUGAUGUGGACCCCAGACUGGGACAGGGGGCAGGUAAGACAGGUGGCUCCAGGGCUGCAGCAGACAUCAGUAGAGAAGCUGCCUCCUCAGGUCCUUCACCAGCAGGGAAUCAGCAGACUACUGUUACGUUACAGCCAGGCCAGCCCUGAUGACAUCAGAGAGUUCUCCAGGAGCAAUGUGAGUGUGACUCUGUACACGGUCAACGAGCCCUGGCUGUUCUCUGUACUCUGGUGCAGCGGGGUCUCCUCUGUCUCCUCUGAAGCCCCCAACAUCCUCAGAAAGGUGCCUUACCCCAUCUGGCUCAUGAGUCCGGAUGAAUACUGUCUGAUCUGGGUCGCUGCUGAUCUCAUCUCCUUCACUGUAGUUAUAGGAAUUUUUGUAUUCCAAAACUAUCACAUUAUCAGGUGGAGGUUGAGUGGCAUGCACAGUUACAACCCUGAACAGAUCAUGCUGAGUGCCGCGGUCCGGAGGUCCAGCAGAGACCUCAACAUCAUGAAGGAGAAACUCAUCUUCUCCGGUCAACCGCAGUAGCAGUCUCAACCUGUGUGUGUGUGUGUGACCUGCACUCCUCUCCACCUCCACUCCUCUUCAUCCUGCCAUCUCUCCAUCAUCCUCUGCCUGCUGUGACCAUUCGUUCGACCAUUCCAUCCCUCCCUUCCCCUCGCUCUCUGCCUGCCCCGCCUUUCCCCCUCUCCUCCUCAAUCACCCACCAGAGACCUGUGUCAUUUAAAAGGGUGCCUAGACAGCCCACUGAGACCCACCAGCCUCUCCUGGUGGGUGGUGAAAGAGGUGAGCAAUGGUGUGGGCAGUGCUGAGGACCUGUACAUGGAGAAUGGCUUCGACUACUACAACAACGAAGGCAUCUCCCAUUGACUCUUACUCACCGAAUGUGAAUCUACUCACCUAAUGUGACACCCGACUCGACUAGCAUGUGGAAACUGAGUAAAUUAAGACUUCCAAGUGACUGUCUUGUGAUUGGGCUUAUCUAUUGUUAUGAUUACUCUUGUUUUACUCAGUGUAUCCAGAUAGUUAUUGGUUUGUUCCUCCUACUUACUGACUGAUUGACAGGCUGCUGUAUUGCUGAAGAAUCCAAGGCAAGCACCACCCAUUGCUUUGUACAUUCUGUAAAUAGGUUUGUUUUUGCUUGUUAUAUACAAUGUGGGACUAAAUGCACUUUUUAUUGAUGAACUGAUUGAUUCGUCAGAUCUGAUCUAUGGCCUCUUCUCCUCACCUCUGUGGGCAAACUUGUUGGCUCGAGUUCCAUAUCAGGAUUUCAACAUUCAGUGGAGAGUCAUGCAUUUUAUUUAUAUUUUUUACCAAUUUGUUGGCCAGAAAAAGGGCAAUUUAAAACUAUAUUGGUCCAUUUAAAUAUAUAUAUUUACUUAAACCUCCCGUGUGCUGGGAUUGAAUGGGUUCAUGGGCCGGAUCUGGCCCUCUGCCGUAGUUUUUCCCACCCCUGCUCUUGAUGCUUGGAGGCCCCCCCCCUCCAGUUAUCAAUGCUUAUUUGUUUGUUUCUACACUGUUAUUUGGAUUUCUUGCAGUCACUUUAUAGCAGCCAAUUCUUCUUAUUCACAGGAAUUAUUAUUUGUGCAGCAUGCUCCCUUUGGGCGCUAUUCUGAUUUAUAGGAACAAAAAGAACAUGAACACGCUGUUUACAGAAGUCCUGCCUUCUCCGACUGAAAUAGUUUCAUGAUGUAAGAUAAUGAUUUGAACAGCAUUUCCAAGCAUAUGAUAUACAAUAUUAAGUGACUUGUGGAGCUGUGCUGUCUCGGGCCGGGCUUGUGUUCAGGCAGAAGUAAUGUUUACUCAGUGUUUUCGGGUUCAUUGUGAAUGUGUUUUGAUUUUUAAAGGAUGUGUACAAUGCAUGUAUUAUGUAGAGAUUUCACCCCUACCCUCCGUGUGCAGUCCUACAUAGUGUGCACAUAUUAGAUGUUUUAGGUGCUAUGGCUGGCUGAGCAUUAUAUUGGAAAUGGCAUCCUGAUUAUGUAUAAUAAUAGCUAUAGUGUUGAAGAGUUUAUGAAAGUAAUUGAAAUACUUUGCCGGCCCAACUUCUCAAUGGCAUUUGAACUUGUGGUGUUUGAAAAGCAAAGUGCAUCAAAUCAAUUGGUUUCUAUAGGGGGACAUGAAAGGGUGUCUGAUGAGAUGAAGUGGGGUGUGUUAUAUUAACUGUGAAAAUAAAGCUGGAGGCUGUUGAAGGGAUGACGCUGAGUAUCAUUAUAGUUCAAACCGGGUCAAGGAAUGGAUAGACUUGUGUUCAUUUACUCCUUUGGUAUUUGUGCCUCAGAAGUCAAUAAUUAAAAUGCUUCUGAUACCGAA